RNAcentral lists this non-coding RNA (25 nucleotides) under Mus musculus (house mouse). The record is from RNAcentral. Lineage: Eukaryota; Metazoa; Chordata; Mammalia; Rodentia; Muridae.
GCAGGCACAAAGUAAAGAUAAGGUU